CAGUAGCCGCGGUAAUACAGAGGGUGCGAGCGUUAAUCGGAUUUACUGGGCGUAAAGCGUGCGUAGGCGGCUUCUUAAGUCGGAUGUGAAAUCCCUGAGCUUAACUUAGGAAUUGCAUUCGAUACUGGGAGGCUAGAGUAUGGGAGAGGAUGGUAGAAUUCCAGGUGUAGCGGUGAAAUGCGUAGAGAUCUGGAGGAAUACCGAUGGCGAAGGCAGCCAUCUGGCCUAAUACUGACGCUGAGGUACGAAAGCAUGGGGAGCAAACAGGAUUAGAUACCCCUGUAGUCCCUGUCUCUUAUAC
RNAcentral lists this ribosomal RNA (301 nucleotides) under uncultured bacterium. RNAcentral's name for it is "partial 16S ribosomal RNA". It matches the Rfam family "Bacterial small subunit ribosomal RNA", at positions 509 to 807 of the family's 1533-position model. The record is from RNAcentral.